RNAcentral lists this ribosomal RNA (253 nucleotides) under uncultured bacterium. RNAcentral's name for it is "partial 16S ribosomal RNA". It matches the Rfam family "Bacterial small subunit ribosomal RNA", at positions 524 to 776 of the family's 1533-position model. The record is from RNAcentral.
GACGAACCGUGCGAACGUUGUUCGGAAUCACUGGGCUUAAAGGGCGCGUAGGCGGGUCGGCAAGUCGGAGGUGAAAGCCCGCAGCUCAACUGCGGAAGUGCCCCCGAUACUGCCGACCUCGAGGGAGGUAGGGGCGUGCGGAACUUCCGGUGGAGCGGUGAAAUGCGUAGAUAUCGGAAGGAACACCGGUGGCGAAAGCGGCGCGCUGGACCUCUUCUGACGCUGAGGCGCGAAAGCCAGGGGAGCAAACGGG